GAGUUUGAUCGUGGCUCAGAUUGAACGCUGGCGGCAGGCCUAACACAUGCAAGUCGAGCGGAUGAAGGGAGCUUGCUCCUGGAUUCAGCGGCGGACGGGUGAGUAAUGCCUAGGAAUCUGCCUGGUAGUGGGGGAUAACGUCCGGAAACGGGCGCUAAUACCGCAUACGUCCUGAGGGAGAAAGUGGGGGAUCUUCGGACCUCACGCUAUCAGAUGAGCCUAGGUCGGAUUAGCUAGUUGGUGGGGUAAAGGCCUACCAAGGCGACGAUCCGUAACUGGUCUGAGAGGAUGAUCAGUCACACUGGAACUGAGACACGGUCCAGACUCCUACGGGAGGCAGCAGUGGGGAAUAUUGGACAAUGGGCGAAAGCCUGAUCCAGCCAUGCCGCGUGUGUGAAGAAGGUCUUCGGAUUGUAAAGCACUUUAAGUUGGGAGGAAGGGCAGUAAGUUAAUACCUUGCUGUUUUGACGUUACCAACAGAAUAAGCACCGGCUAACUUCGUGCCAGCCGCCGCGGUAAGACCG
RNAcentral lists this ribosomal RNA (524 nucleotides) under uncultured microorganism. RNAcentral's name for it is "bacterial SSU rRNA". It matches the Rfam family "Bacterial small subunit ribosomal RNA", at positions 9 to 528 of the family's 1533-position model. The record is from RNAcentral.